UACGUAGGGUGCAAGCGUUGUCCGGAAUUAUUGGGCGUAAAGAGCUCGUAGGCGGUUUGUCGCGUCUGCUGUGAAAACUCGGGGCUUAACUCCGGGCCUGCAGUGGGUACGGGCAGACUAGAGUGCGGUAGGGGAGACUGGAAUUCCUGGUGUAGCGGUGAAAUGCGCAGAUAUCAGGAGGAACACCGACGGCGAAGGCAGCACUCUGGGCCGGUACUGACGCUGAGGAGCGAAAGCAUGGGGAGCGAACAGG
Molecule: ribosomal RNA, 253 nt
Filed under: uncultured bacterium
Lineage: Bacteria
Description: partial 16S ribosomal RNA
Rfam family: Bacterial small subunit ribosomal RNA
Source: RNAcentral